This 456-nucleotide long non-coding RNA is filed under the name Homo sapiens (human). RNAcentral's name for it is "non-protein coding LINC00937:8". Lineage: Eukaryota; Metazoa; Chordata; Mammalia; Primates; Hominidae. The record is from RNAcentral.
GGAGGAGGACGACGUCCCUCCCGAAGAGAAGAGGCUGCGGCUCUUGCUGGAGGGGGGAAGCGCACAGCCCCAGGACUGCGAGGACGGGCAGGACGCGCCGCGGUCGGCCAGGAAGGAGACCGGCACCCAGACAGGUGGCGACGGCAGAGGAGCACAGUGGCUCACACCUGUAAUCCCAGCACUUUGGCAGGUCGAGGCUGGUGGAUCACCUAAGGUCAGGAGUUCGAGACCAGCCUGGCCAACAUGGCGGAACUGUCUCUACUGAAAAUACAGAAAUUAGCCAGGUGUGAUGGCACACACCUGUAAUCACAGCUGCUUGGGAGGCUGAGGCAGGAGAAUCAUUUGAACCUGGGAGACAGAGGUUGCAGUCAGCCGAGAUCGCACCAAUGCACUUCAGCCAGCCUGGGUGACAGAGUGAGACCCUGUUUCAAAAAUAAAUAAAUAAAUAAAAUAGAA